RNAcentral lists this ribosomal RNA (253 nucleotides) under uncultured bacterium. Its description in RNAcentral is "partial 16S ribosomal RNA". It matches the Rfam family "Bacterial small subunit ribosomal RNA", at positions 524 to 776 of the family's 1533-position model. The record is from RNAcentral.
UACGUAGGGGGCAAGCGUUGUCCGGAUUUAUUGGGCGUAAAGAGCGUGUAGGCGGCUUUACAGGUCCGUUGUGAAAACUCGAGGCUCAACCUCGAGACGCCGGUGGAAACCGUAAGGCUAGAGUCCGGAAGAGGAGAGUGGAAUUCCUGGUGUAGCGGUGAAAUGCGCAGAUAUCAGGAGGAACACCGGUGGCGAAGGCGGCGUUCUGGACUGCAACUGACACUGAGGAACGAAAGCCAGGGGAGCAAACGGG